GCUGGAAUUAUAGGCAUGAGCCACCGCACGGGCCUCAAGAUCCAAUUCUAAGAGAACAUAGAGUAGUCAAGCUUCCAAGACUCCAGACACAUCCAAAUGAGGUGCUGCAUGUGGCAGUCUGCCAUUUGU
Molecule: non-coding RNA, 129 nt
Organism: Homo sapiens (human)
Lineage: Eukaryota; Metazoa; Chordata; Mammalia; Primates; Hominidae
Rfam family: 7SK RNA
About the family: 7SK was discovered as an abundant small nuclear RNA in the mid-70s but a possible function has only recently been suggested. Two independent studies have found that 7SK RNA binds the CDK9/cyclin T complex (known as elongation factor P-TEFb).
Source: Rfam